Non-coding RNA from Rattus norvegicus (Norway rat), 4990 nucleotides. Lineage: Eukaryota; Metazoa; Chordata; Mammalia; Rodentia; Muridae. The record is from RefSeq and is a predicted model, not a curated record.
GCUAAGAAACUUGCCCCCGGGCUGAACCCUUGGGGGGCCGAGUCAGCCGUUAUGUUUCUGGAAGGUAGCUAGGAAACUUGCCCCCGGGCUAAACCCUUGCCAUAUUAGAAUCCACCAAUUAUAUCCCUGUAACCAUACAUCUGCUUCUGUAUGCUUGCUUCUGCUCCCCAAAAUCCUAUAAAAGCCCAUCCUUGGUUCCGUGGGGCGCGCCAGUCCCCCGAGUGACUGUAGCGCCCGCAGGUGCCUGUGCCUGUGUAUCCCGACAAUAAACCAAAUCCUCUUGCUGAUUGCAUCCUGUGGUGUCUCGGUCUGGUCUUUGGAGUUAGAGGGUCUCCAUCCCGAGGGAAAGUUCUCCCUGAGAGCUUUUCAUUUGGUGCGUUGGCCGGGAAAGGAGAUCCUCCACCCAGGGACCACCGACCACCCACUGGGAGGUAAGCCGGCCGACGUCUGUCUGUCUGUCUAAUUUUGUCUCGUUCUACCUUAUUCUGUCUGUUCUGUGAGCGCUCAGCCAGGUCUGUUCUGUGAGCGCUCAGCCAGGUUGUUUGGAAUUUGGGCGGGACGAAGAAGGAGCUGACGAGCUCAGACUUCUCGCCCCGCAGCCCUGGAAGACGUUCCAAGGGUGUUGGGGCCCGACUUUUCGAGGCCCAAUCUGGGAGAGGAGAAAGAUCCGGACUAACGGCACCUCUGUCUGUAUUUUUGGCUUUCAGAGGGCCCCGGACCUUUGCCACCUCUAUCUGAGAAAGAUCCGGACUAACGGCACUCUGUCUGUAUUUUUGGCUUUCAGAGGGCCCCGGACCUUUGCCACCUCCAUCUGACUUUUUGCUUUCAGUUUGGUACCAAAGCCGUGCAGCACGCCUGUCUGUUGUUUGUUUGACUGUUGGUGUUGUUUGUUUUCUCUGUGUUCUAAUCUUCCUUAGAACUAACAUGGGACAGUCCCUAACAACGCCCCUAAGUCUCACUCUUGAUCAUUAGAAAGACGUCCACGACCGGGCACACAACCAGUCCGUCGAGGUUAAAAAAAAAAAGGAAAAGGGCAGACUCUCUACACAUCCGAGUGGCCCACUUUCGGAGCGGGAUGGCCAGUGAAUGGCACAUUUAAUAAGAUCAUUAUUUUACAGGUUAAAGAUCGGGUCGUCCACGGACAUCCUGACCAGGUUCCUUAUAUUAUCACUUGAGAGAGUCUCGCCUUAACCCCCCCCCCCCAGGCGGAACCCUUUGUGGACCCGAAUUGGCCUCCCCUCAACCCCCAGCCUGUCCCCUCGGCCCCGCCCGGUCUGCCGGCCACGUCUUAAAAAACCUGUCCUCCCAGCAGACCCAAACUCCCCUCUCAUAGAUCUUCUCUCUGACAGGCCCGGCUAAAACGGAGGAGGCAGAGCCGCCGGCCAGAUCAGUUGCCGGGCCACAGUCUGAUAAGGGUUUCUCCCCUGUCGCAGGGAGAUCGCGCAAUAAGCACGAGGUGGUACCAGAUACAACCUCCCAGGCUUUCCCACUUAGACAGGGAACCAGUGGCCAGACCCAAUACUGGCCGUUUUCAGCAGCUGACAUUUACAAUUGGAAACAACACAACCCUUCUUUCUCCAAAGAUCCGGUGGCACUCACCGACCUAAUAGAAUCUGUUUUACUUACCCACCAGCCUACUUGGGAUGACUGCCAACAGCUCUUACAGGCCCUCUUAACCUCAGAAAAAAAAAAAAAAAAAAAAACAAAGAGUGUUCCUAGAGGCCAGAAAGCAUGUUCUGGGAGAUGAUGGGCGUCCCACCCAGCUGCCUGAAAAAAUUGAUGCUACAUUCCCACUUAAGAGACCAAACUGGGAUUUUAAUACAGCUGAAGGUAAGAGACACCUACGCCUUUAUCGCCAGUUGCUUCUAGCGGGUCUCCGAGGGGCUAUACGACGCCCUACUAAUUUGGCUCAGGUAAAACAGGUAUUACAGGAAGCAGGGGAAACUCCCUCCGCCUUUCUAGAGAGACUUAAGGAGGCCUACCGUAUGUAUACUCCCUAUGACCCAGAUGACCCAGGACAAAUGACGAGUGUCUCUAUGUCCUUCAUCUGGCAGGCUGCUCCAGAUAUCAGGACUAAGUUACAGAGGUUAGAAAAUUUGCAGGGCUAUACAUUACAGGAUUUACUUAAAGAAGCUGAAAAGAUUUUUAAUAAGAAAGAGAUAAAAAAAGAAACAAAGAAUUGAGUCGAAUCUUGGCCGCCGUAGUUCAGGGCCAAGAAAGGAAGGGAGAUAGGGGGGAGCUCGAAAGGGGCUGAAGCUGGAUAAAGAUCAAUGUGCCUAUUACAAAGAGAAAGGGCACUGGGCCAGAGAGUGCCCCAAGAAGCCUGGCGGACCCCGAAAACCUCGACCACGAACCUCCCUCUUGGCUCUAGAUAAAGAUUAGGGAGGUCAGGGCCAGGAGCCCCCCCCCCUGAGCCCAGGGUAACGCUUAAAGUUGGGGGGCAGCCGGUUACUUUCCUGGUAGACACAGGAGCCCAGCAUUCAGUCCUCACCCAAGCUUCAGGACAACUCAGCGACCGGACGGCCUGGGUACAAAGAGCUACUGGUGAGAAACAAUACCGAUGGACUACGGACCGCCGGGUUCAGCUGGCUACUGGUAAGGUGACCCAUUCCUUCUUACAUGUUCCGGACUGCCCGUACCCUCUGCUGGGCCGUGACCUGCUCACCAAACUAAAAGCACAAAUUCAUUUUGAGGAAGGAGGGGCCCAAAUAACUGGCCCCCACGGAACUCCCCUUCAAGUUCUAACCCUACAACUAGAGGAUGAAUAUAGACUAUAUGAACCGGGACAGGACAAGCCACAAUCCCUAGAAAUAGACACUUGGGUCACGAAUUUUCCACUGGCUUGGGCAGAGACUGGUGGGAUGGGGUUGGCGCUCCAACAGCCCCCCUUAAUUAUAUAGUUAAAGGCCACUACAACUCCAGUCUCCAUAAAACAAUACCCCCUGUCACAUGAAGCUUAUCAAGGUAUAAGGCCUCACAUUACGAGGCUUCUAGAUCAAGGCAUCCUAAUCCCCUGCUGGUCACCUUGGAAUAUGCCUCUUCUGCCUGUUAAGAAACCCGGCACUGGAGAUUAUAGGCCAGUACAAGACUUGAGAAAGGUCAACAAGAGGAUAGAAGAUAUUCAUCUGACUGUUCCAAACCCUUACAAUUUGCUCAGUAACUGUUCAUCGAUGAGAAACAGGGGUAUGCUAAAGGGGUCCUAACACAAAGGUUGGGACCCUGAAAACGCCCUGUGGCCUACCUGUCUAAGAAAUUGGACCCUGUGGCCUCCGGCUGGCCACCGUGCCUAAAGAUGGUGGCUGCUAUUGCUGUCCUGAUCAAGGAUGCUAGAAAAUUGACUUUGGGACAGCCACUCACCAUCCUAGCACCCCACGCAGUGGAGGCCUUGGUAAAACAGCCCCCAGACCGCUGGCUCUCUAAUUCCCACAUGACCCACUACCAAGCCUUGUUACUGGAUGCAGAACGGGUUCAGUUUGGGCCCGUAGUUGCCCUCAAUCCUGCCACCUUGCUUCCCCUACCAGAGGAGGCAGAACAGCAUGACUGCCUACAAAUCCUCGCAGAAGUACAUGGAACCAGGCCGGACCUAUCGGACCAGCCUCUUCAGAAUGCUGACCACACAUGGUACACAGAUGGCAGCAGCUUCUUGGCAGAGGGAGAGUGAAAGGCUGGAGCUGCGGUCACUACGGAGGACAAAGUAAUUUGGGCAAAAGCCCUGCCUGCUGGUACCUCCGCACAACGGGCUGAACUCAUCGCCUUGACUCAGGCGCUCAAGAUGGCAAAAGGUAAGAGGCUAAAUAUAUAUACAGACAGCCGCUAUGCCUUUGCCACGGCACACAUCCACGGGGAGAUCUACCGGAGGCGGGGGCUGCUCACAUCUGAGGGUAAAGAUAUUAAAAAUAAGGCUGAAAUUCUGGCCCUCUUAGAAGCCCUAUUCUUGCCCAAAAGACUGAGUAUUAUGUAUUGUCCAGGACACCAGAAAGGGCACAACCCAGAGGCACGAAGAAACCGGCUGGCCAAUGCCACGGCUCGAGAAGCGGCCAUGAACAAACAAAUCUUGCCCUUAAAUAGCCCAGACCAACCCACGCCCCCACCAGUGGGACAAACCAGUUGGGUUUAUGCCCAUGAGGACAUAGAGCUCCUAAAAAAAUGGGGGCCAUCUACCACCCUCAACUAAAACAGUGGGUCUACAAAGGAAAGACAGUUAUGCCAAUAAAAAUGACUUUUGAAUUGAUCUCCUUUUUACAUAAAUUAACCCAUUUGGGGUUUAAGAAGAUAAAAACCUUACUAGAUCGGGAAGAGAUAAAUCUGUGUUUUUUUAAAUCGGGACAAAGCGAUACAAAAGGUGACUGAGAGUUACAAAGCGUGCGCUCAGGUUAACCCGAGAAGGACCAUGAUUGGACAAGGAGUUCAUCCUAGGGGACACCGUCCCGACAUCCAUUGAGAAAUUGGUUUUACUAAAAUUAAACCAGGUAUAUAUGGAUACAAGUAUCUCCUAGUGUUUGUAGACACCUUCUCAGGAUGGGUCGAAGCCUUCCCCACAAAGCACGAGACUACAAAAAUGGUCACCAAGAAGCUCCUCGAGGAAAUCUUUCCCAGGUAUGGCAUGCCUCAAGCGUUGGGGUCGGACAACGGGCCCGCUUUCGUCUCCCAAGUAAGUCAGUUGGUGGCCAAAUUGCUGGGGAUUGAUUAAAAAUUACAUUGUGCCUAUAGACCCCAGAGUUCAGGUCAGGUAGAACACAUAAAUAGAACAAUUAAGGAGACUUUAUCCAAACUAACGCUUGCAACUGGCUCAAAGGAUUGGGUGGCCCUCCUUCCCCUAGUUCUAUAUCGGGCCCGGAAUACCCCGGGCCCCCAUGGUCUAACUCCUUUUGAAAUAAUAUAUGGAACACCACCCCCAUUUGUCCAUUUCUUUGAUUCAAACAUUGCUGAUUUUGCUGACAGCCCUUCUCUGAGGGCCCAUUUACAGGCCCUACAGAUUGUGCAGAGAGAC